GACGAACGCUGGCGGCAUGCCUAAUACAUGCAAGUCGAACGCUGAAGCACUCUGCUUGCAGAGUGUGGAUGAGUGGCGAACGGGUGAGUAACACGCGGGGAAUCUGCCUAGGAGUGAGGGACAACAUUCGGAAACGGAUGCUAAUACCUUAUAUCUUAUUGGACCGCAUGGUCCAUUAAUGAAAGACGGCUUCGGCUGUCGCUCUUAGAUGAUCCCGCGGCGUAUUAGUUAGUUGGUGAGGUAAUGGCUCACCAAGACCAUGAUACGUAGCCGACCUGAGAGGGUGAUCGGCCACACUGGGACUGAGACACGGCCCAG
Molecule: ribosomal RNA, 318 nt
Filed under: uncultured bacterium
Lineage: Bacteria
Description: bacterial SSU rRNA
Rfam family: Bacterial small subunit ribosomal RNA
Source: RNAcentral